UCCUUUUUGGGAUAAGCCUUGGAAACGGGGUCUAAUACCGAAUAUUCUGGCGCUCUCGCAUGGGGGUGUUGGGAAAGCUUUUGUGUGAAGGGGGAUGGGCUCGCGGCCUAUCAGCUUGUUGGUGGGGUGAUGGCCUACCAAGGCGGUGACGGGUAGCCGGCCUGAGAGGGUGACCGGCCACAUUGGGACUGAGAUACGGCCCAGACUCCUACGGGAGGCAGCAGUGGGGGAUAUUGCACAAUGGGCGAAAGCCUGAUGCAGCGACGCCGCGUGGGGGAUGAAGGCUUUCGGGUUGUAAACCUCUUUCGCUAUCGAACAAGGCCCGCUUAGGGUGGGUUGAGGGUAGGUGGAGAAGAAGCGCCGGCUAACUACGUGCCAGCAGCCGCGGUAAUACGUAGGGCGCGAGCGUUGUCCGGAAUUAUUGGGCGUAAAGGGCUUGUAGGCGGCUUGUUGCGCCUGCUGUGAAAACGCGGGGCUUAACUUCGCGCGUGCAGUGGGUACGGGCAGGCUUGAGUGUGGUAGGGGUGACUGGAAUUCCAGGUGUAGCGGUGGAAUGCGCAGAUAUCUGGAGGAACACCGAUGGCGAAGGCAGGUCACUGGGCCAUUACUGACGCUGAGGAGCGAAAGCA
This 629-nucleotide ribosomal RNA is filed under the name Actinotignum schaalii. RNAcentral describes it as "bacterial SSU rRNA". It matches the Rfam family "Bacterial small subunit ribosomal RNA", at positions 132 to 761 of the family's 1533-position model. The record is from RNAcentral. Lineage: Bacteria; Bacillati; Actinomycetota; Actinomycetes; Actinomycetales; Actinomycetaceae.